This is a long non-coding RNA of Leptidea sinapis, 331 nucleotides long. RefSeq lists it as uncharacterized. The transcript is spliced from 2 exons. The record is from RefSeq and is a predicted model, not a curated record. NCBI's taxonomy places the organism in Eukaryota, Metazoa, Arthropoda, Insecta, Lepidoptera, Pieridae.
AUCAUGACUAGAUCCACACUCAUCCAUGGAAGUUGCGAUGUUCGUCGAGCGCGAUGCCGGUCAUUACGGAGGGUAUCAUUACCGGCGACUGCUAAUGAUACGGCGAGGCCUCACGGACGAGACACGAGAGCAGAUAGCUACAACUCGACGAGUGCGGCGUGUUAAUCGCCAUGACAGAGAUGUACUCUCCAGGUAAUGGUACGGCUGUGGUUAAAUUGACACAGUGAAGAAUUUAAUAUUGUUAGAGUAUUUCGUAAGUGCUUGGGAAUGUUAAAAAAUUGAUGUAGAUACCUACGAUUACUUAUAAAAAUAAAAACACUUUGUUCUGUUA